Molecule: ribosomal RNA, 430 nt
Filed under: uncultured bacterium
Lineage: Bacteria
Description: bacterial SSU rRNA
Rfam family: Bacterial small subunit ribosomal RNA
Source: RNAcentral
GGCCUUCGGGCCCCUAGAGCGGCGGACGGGUGAGUAACACGUGGACAAUCUGCCCCCCGGUCCGGGAUAGCCCGGGGAAACCUGGAUUAAUACCGGAUGAGACGGGACCCGCGGAGGCGGGAUCCGGGAAAGGCGCUACGGCGCCGCCGGGGGAUGAGUCUGCGUCCCAUUAGCUAGACGGCGGGGUAACGGCCCACCGUGGCGACGAUGGGUAGCCGGCCUGAGAGGGUGGACGGCCACAUUGGAACUGAGACACGGUCCAGACUCCUACGGGAGGCAGCAGCUAAGAAUCUUCCGCAAUGGGCGAAAGCCUGACGGAGCGACGCCGCGUGAACGAAGAAGGCCGUGAGGUUGUAAAGUUCUUUUCGGGAGGGGGAACAACCGUGGCAGGGAAUGGCCGCGGGAUGACGUGAAUCCCGGAAUAAGCCCC